AGUGAACGCUGGCGGUAGGCCUAACACAUGCAAGUCGAACGGCAGCACAGUAAGAGCUUGCUCUUACGGGUGGCGAGUGGCGGACGGGUGAGGAAUACAUCGGGAUCUACUUUUUCGUGGGGGAUAACGUAGGGAAACUUACGCUAAUACCGCAUACGACCUACGGGUGAAAGCAGGGGAUCUUCGGACCUUGCGCGAUUGAAUGAGCCGAUGUCGGAUUAGCUAGUUGGCGGGGUAAAGGCCCACCAAGGCGACGAUCCGUAGCUGGUCUGAGAGGAUGAUCAGCCACACUGGAACUGAGACACAGUCCAGACUCCUACGGGAGGCAGCAGUGGGGAAUAUUGGACAAUGGGCGCAAGCCUGAUCCAGCCAUACCGCGUGGGUGAAGAAGGCCUUCGGGUUGUAAAGCCCUUUUGUUGGGAAAGAAAAGCAGCAGGUUAAUACCCCGCUGUUCUGACGGUACCCAAAGAAUAAGCACCGGCUAACUUCGUG
RNAcentral lists this ribosomal RNA (492 nucleotides) under uncultured bacterium. RNAcentral describes it as "partial 16S ribosomal RNA". It matches the Rfam family "Bacterial small subunit ribosomal RNA", at positions 29 to 507 of the family's 1533-position model. The record is from RNAcentral.